Non-coding RNA from Bacillus sp. FJAT-21945, 99 nucleotides. NCBI's taxonomy places the organism in Bacteria, Bacillati, Bacillota, Bacilli, Caryophanales, Bacillaceae. The record is from Rfam.
UUCUUAUCAAGAGAGGUUGAGGGACUGGCCCAAUGACACCUCGGCAACGGACUUAUUGUACCGUGCCAAAUCCAGCAAGCAUCGCUUGAGAGAUAAGAA